Corvus hawaiiensis (hawaiian crow) is the source of this 1474-nucleotide long non-coding RNA. RefSeq lists it as uncharacterized. The transcript has 2 exons. NCBI's taxonomy places the organism in Eukaryota, Metazoa, Chordata, Aves, Passeriformes, Corvidae. The record is from RefSeq and is a predicted model, not a curated record.
UUUUCCAUGAUUUUCCAGCUCUUUUUGUUCGUUAACAGGAGGAAUUCCUGGUUUUUUUCCUGGUUUUUUUAGGGUGGUUUUUCCAUGAUUUUCCUCCUUAUUAAAGCGGGAUUUGGGAUGGGAUUCCGGCCCGGAAAAUUUGGGAUGGAGCGUCCCAGCACGGCCUGGCUGGAUCCUUAAUGGGAGGGAAUUCCUGGGGCUUUUUCCUGGAUUUUUAGGGUGUUUUUUCCAUGAUUUUCCAUGAUUUUCCAGCUCCGCUUCUUCCUUAAUGAGGGAGAAUUCCAGGGUUUUUUCCUAUUUUUUUGGGGUAGAUUUUCCAUGAUUUUCCAGCUCUUUUCCCUCCUUAAUGGGAGGGAAUUCCCGGGAUUUUUUCCUGGGUUUUUUGGGGUGAUUUUUCCAUGAUUUUCCAGCUCCGCUUCUUCCUUAACAGGAGAGAAUUCCUGGGAUUUUUUCCUGGUUUUCUGGGGUGGUUUUUCCAUGAUUUUCCAGCUCCUCCUGCUUAAGGCACAAAUCCUUUGUUAUUUUUUUAGGGAAUGUUCAGGAAUUUAUUUGGGAAAAUCAUUCGGAAAUUGAAAUCCUUCCAACACCAGAAUUUAGGGAAUUUUCUCCACAAUCCCACAAAUUCCCGGCUCCUUUUGAAUGGGAAUGUUCAGGGAUUGAUUUGGGAAAAAUCUUCAGGAAUUAGAAAUCCUUCAAAUCCCAGAAUUUCAGGAAUUUUCUCCACCAUCCCAGAAAAUUCCCGGCUCCUCAAGUUCAUCCCUGGCUCCUAAAAAAAAAAAAAAAGGGGAAUGAAUUUUCCACUGGGAAUGAGGAGAAGUGGGAAUUCCAAAGGAAUUCCGGGGAUUUUAUUCCACAUCUGGGAGAGGCCUCGGCCUUUUUGGGGCUUUUCCCAACAUUUUGGAGCAGGAGGGGCGGAAUUCCGGGAAUUUGGGAUCAUCCCGGGGAGGGAACAGGGGGAUCCCACAGGGAACAGAGCUGGAAAAACUCCUGGGAUGGGAUUUUAUUCCGAGAAUUUUGGAGCAGGAGGAGCUGAAUUCCGGGAAUUUGGGAUCAUCCCGGGGCGGGCACCAAGUGAUCCUAUGGAAAAAAAACUGGAAAAACUCCUGGGAUGGGAUUUUAUUCCCAAAAUUCUGGAGCAGGAGGAGCUGAAUUCCGGGGUUUGGGAUCAUCCCGGGGAGGGAACAGGGGGAUCCCAUGGAGGAGAGAGCUGGAAAAACUCCUGGGAUGGGAUUUUAUUCCAAGAAAGAGCGGAAUUCCGGGAAUUUGAGCUCGGGAUCAUCCCAGGGAGGAGACGAGGGGAUUCCAUGGAGAAAAAGGGGUGGAAAAACUCCUGGGAUGGGAUUUUGUUCCCAAAAUUUCCGAGCAGGAGGAGCUGAAUUCCGGGAAUUUGAGCUCGGGAUCAUCCCAGGGAGGAGACGAGGGGAUUCCAUGGAGAAAAAGGGGUGGAAAAACUCCUGGGAUGGGAUUUUAUUCC